This 497-nucleotide ribosomal RNA is filed under the name uncultured bacterium. Its description in RNAcentral is "partial 16S ribosomal RNA". It matches the Rfam family "Bacterial small subunit ribosomal RNA", at positions 28 to 507 of the family's 1533-position model. The record is from RNAcentral.
GAUGAACGCUGGCGGCGUGCCUAAUACAUGCAAGUCGAGCGAACGGACGAGAAGCUUGCUUCUCUGAUGUUAGCGGCGGACGGGUGAGUAACACGUGGAUAACCUACCUAUAAGACUGGGAUAACUUCGGGAAACCGGAGCUAAUACCGGAUAAUAUUUUAAACCGCAUGGUUCAAAAGUAAAAGACGGUCUUGCUGUCACUUAUAGAUGGAUCCGCGCUGCAUUAGCUAGUUGGUAAGGUAACGGCUUACCAAGGCAACGAUGCAUAGCCGACCUGAGAGGGUGAUCGGCCACACUGGAACUGAGACACGGUCCGGACUCCUACGGGAGGCAGCAGUAGGGAAUCUUCCGCAAUGGGCGAAAGCCUGACGGAGCAACGCCGCGUGAGUGAUGAAGGUCUUCGGAUCGUAAAACUCUGUUAUUAGGGAAGAACAUAUGUGUAAGUAACUGUGCACACCUUGACGGUACCUAAUCAGAAAGCCACGGCUAACUACGUG